GUAACUAUAGUGCCAGGAAAACUACUUUGUUUUUCUAGCACUAUAGUUUCCCCUUUAAGUAAACUCUAAUUCCACAUAUCCUGACACGACACACAAAGACAUAGAUAUAUAAUUACACCAGGGAUCACAGUGCAUAUACACACAAAAGCAUACAUUCACGUUCCAUGCACAUACAAUCAAAUAAACGGUACAUCUACACCAGCACAUAUAUUGAUCUGCAG
Non-coding RNA from Pelobates cultripes (western spadefoot toad), 221 nucleotides. The record is from the annotation of a GenBank genome assembly. NCBI's taxonomy places the organism in Eukaryota, Metazoa, Chordata, Amphibia, Anura, Pelobatidae.